CAGUAGCCGCGGUAAUACGUAGGUGGCAAGCGUUGUCCGGAAUUAUUGGGCGUAAAGGGCUCGCAGGCGGUUUCUUAAGUCUGAUGUGAAAGCCCCCGGCUCAACCGGGGAGGGUCAUUGGAAACUGGGAAACUUGAGUGCAGAAGAGGAGAGUGGAAUUCCACGUGUAGCGGUGAAAUGCGUAGAGAUGUGGAGGAACACCAGUGGCGAAGGCGACUCUCUGGUCUGUAACUGACGCUGAGGAGCGAAAGCGUGGGGAGCGAACAGGAUUAGAUACCUCAGUAGUCCCUGUCUCUUAUAC
This 301-nucleotide ribosomal RNA is filed under the name uncultured bacterium. Its description in RNAcentral is "partial 16S ribosomal RNA". It matches the Rfam family "Bacterial small subunit ribosomal RNA", at positions 509 to 807 of the family's 1533-position model. The record is from RNAcentral.